GGAAAUAAAAGUCGUAACAAGGUUUCCGUAGGUGAACCUGCGGAAGGAUCAUUAACGAGUUAGGGUCUUUCAGGCCCGACCUCCCAACCCUAUGUUUAUUGAACCUCUGUUGCUUCGGCGGACCCGCCUCACGACCGCCGGAGGACCGCCGCGAGGCGUCCUCUGGCCAGUGUCCGCCGAGAGCCAACCACUUAACACUCUGAAUAAAUCAUGUCAUUAUGUCUAAGUCUAUGAUUAAAUUAAAGCAAAACUCUCAACAACGGAUCUCUUGGUUCUG
Molecule: unclassified non-coding RNA, 277 nt
Filed under: plant metagenome
Description: partial contains small subunit ribosomal RNA, internal transcribed spacer 1, and 5.8S ribosomal RNA
Rfam family: Eukaryotic small subunit ribosomal RNA (bases 1-54)
Source: RNAcentral